UUUGAUUCUGGCUCAGAUUGAACGCUGGCGGGAUGCCCCACACAUGCAAGUCGAACGGCAGCCUGGACUUCGGUCUGGUGGCAGGUGGCGAACGGGUGAGUAAUGUAUCCGGAACGUGCCUGAGUAGCGGGGAUAACUACGCGAAAGCGUAGCUAAUACCGCAUACGCCCUUCGGGGAAAGCGGAGGACCUUCGGGCCUCGCACUAUUAAACGGCCGAUAUCGGAUUAGCUAGUUGGUGGGGUAACGGCUCACCAAGGCGACGAUCCGUAGCUGGUUUGAGAGGACGACCAGCCACACUGGGACUGAGACACGGCCCGGAGCUCACGGGAGGCGGCAGUGGGGAAUUUUGGACAAUGGAAACCUGAUCCAGCCAUCCCGCGUGUGCGAUGAGAAGGCCUUCGGGUUGUAAAGCACUUUGGCAGGAAAGAAACGGCCUGAGAUAAUACCCCGUGCAACUGACGGUACCUGCAGAAUAAGCACCGGCUAACCGUGCCAGCAGCCGCGGUAAUACGUAGGGUGCAAGCGUUAAUCAGGAAUUACUGGGCGUAAAGCGUGCGCAGGCGGUUCGGAAAGAAGAUGUGAAAUCCCAGAGCUUAACUUUGGAACUGCAUUUUUAACUACCGAGCUAGAGUGUGUCAGAGGAGGUGGAAUUCCGCAUUAUGCCAGUGAAAUGCGUAGAUAUGCGGAGGAACACCGGUGGCGAAGGCAGCCUCCUGGGAUAACUUGCUGACGCUCAUGCACGAAAGCGUGGGGAGCAAACAGGAUUAGAUACCUGGUAGUCCACGCCUAAACGAUGUCAACUGGCUGGCAGGGCCUUCGGGCCUUGGUAGCGCAGCUAACGCGUGAAGUUGACCGCCUGGGGAGUACGGUCCGCAAGAUUAAAACUCAAAGGAAUUGACGGGGACCCGCACAAGCGGUGGAUGAUGUGGAUUAAUUCAGUGCAACGCGAAAAACCUUACCUACCCUUGACAUGUCUGGAAUCCCGAAGAGAUUUGGGAGUGCUCGCAGAACCGGAACACAGGUGCUGCAUGGCUGUCGUCAGCUCGUGUCGUGAGAUGUUGGGUUAAGUCCCGCAACGAGCACAACCCUUGUCAUUAGUUGCUACGAAGGGCACUCUAUUAAGAGACUGCCGGUGAAGCAAACCGGAGGAAGGUGGGGAUGACGUCAAGUCCUCAUGGCCCUUAUGGGUAGGGCUUCACACGUCAUACAAUGGUCGGGACGGGUCGCCAACCCGCGAGGGAGCCAAUCCCAGGAAACCCGAUCGUAGUCCGGAUCGCAGUCUGCAGCUCUGACUGCGUGAAGUCGGAAUCGCUAGUAAUCGCGGAUCAGCAUGUCGCGGUGAAUACGUUCCCGGGUCUUGUACACACCGCCCGUCACACCAUGGGAGUGGGUUUUACCAGAAGUAGUUAGCCUAACCGUAAGGAGGGCGAUUACCACGGUAGGAUUCAUGACUGGGGUGAAGUCGUAACAAAAGGUAG
This 1479-nucleotide ribosomal RNA is filed under the name uncultured Bordetella sp. RNAcentral's name for it is "partial 16S-23S ribosomal RNA intergenic spacer". It matches the Rfam family "Bacterial small subunit ribosomal RNA". Lineage: Bacteria; Pseudomonadati; Pseudomonadota; Betaproteobacteria; Burkholderiales; Alcaligenaceae. The record is from RNAcentral.